This 508-nucleotide ribosomal RNA is filed under the name uncultured bacterium. RNAcentral's name for it is "bacterial SSU rRNA". It matches the Rfam family "Bacterial small subunit ribosomal RNA", at positions 28 to 526 of the family's 1533-position model. The record is from RNAcentral.
GACGAACGCUAGCUACAGGCUUAACACAUGCAAGUCGAGGGGCAGCAUGUUGGUUGCUUGCAACCAAUGAUGGCGACCGGCGCACGGGUGAGUAACGCGUAUCCAACCUACCCAAUACUCAGGCAUAACCCGUUGAAAGACGGACUAAUUCCUGAUGGUAUGUAUUUUUCUCAUGAAUUAUACAUUAAAGAAUUUCGGUAUUGGAUGGGGAUGCGUCUGAUUAGUUUGUUGGUGAGGUAACGGCUCACCAAGACUUCGAUCAGUAGGGGUUCUGAGAGGAAGGUCCCCCACAUUGGAACUGAGACACGGUCCAAACUCCUACGGGAGGCAGCAGUGAGGAAUAUUGGUCAAUGGAUGAAAAUCUGAACCAGCCAAGUAGCGUGCAGGAUGACGGCCCUAUGGGUUGUAAACUGCUUUUAUGUGAGAAUAAAGUUAGGUAUGUAUGCUUAUUUGCAUGUAUCACAUGAAUAAGGACCGGCUAAUUCCGUGCCAGCAGCCGCAGUAAAAC